This 497-nucleotide ribosomal RNA is filed under the name uncultured bacterium. RNAcentral's name for it is "partial 16S ribosomal RNA". It matches the Rfam family "Bacterial small subunit ribosomal RNA", at positions 28 to 507 of the family's 1533-position model. The record is from RNAcentral.
GAUGAACGCUGGCGGCGUGCCUAAUACAUGCAAGUCGAGCGAACGGACGAGAAGCUUGCUUCUCUGAUGUUAGCGGCGGACGGGUGAGUAACACGUGGAUAACCUACCUAUAAGACUGGGAUAACUUCGGGAAACCGGAGCUAAUACCGGAUAAUAUUUUGAACCGCAUGGUUCAAAAGUGAAAGACGGUCUUGCUGUCACUUAUAGAUGGACCCGCGCUGCAUUAGCUAGUUGGUAAGGUAACGGCUUACCAAGGCAACGAAGCAUAGCCGACCUGGGAGGGUGAUCGGCCACACUGGAACUGAGACACGGUCCGGACUCCUACGGGAGGCAGCCGUAGGGAAUCUUCCGCAAUGGGCGAAAGCCUGACGGAGCAACGCCGCGUGAGUGAUUAAGGUCUUCGGAUCGUAAAACUCUGUUAUUAGGGAAGAACAUAUGUGUAAGUAACUGUGCACAUCUUGACGGUACCUAAUCAGAAAGCCACGGCUAACUACGUG